Long non-coding RNA from Rhodamnia argentea, 219 nucleotides. RefSeq lists it as uncharacterized. The record is from RefSeq and is a predicted model, not a curated record. NCBI's taxonomy places the organism in Eukaryota, Viridiplantae, Streptophyta, Magnoliopsida, Myrtales, Myrtaceae. The transcript is spliced from 3 exons.
CACGGACAUCCGGGCCUCUGAAGCUCAGGAACACAUGGUAAUACCUUUUCAGAUUUGAAGAAGAAGAAGAAGAAGAAGCCAUCGAAAGAGCUAAUGGUUGAUGUGCUUCCGCAGAAUGCGCAUGUGAGUUCUCCUCGAUCGGAGACAACUUAAAACUGUUGCCGAAACUUGAGAAUUAACACGGACAUGGUCAGACACUUCACUGCAAAAACUAUGUAA